This 301-nucleotide ribosomal RNA is filed under the name uncultured bacterium. Its description in RNAcentral is "partial 16S ribosomal RNA". It matches the Rfam family "Bacterial small subunit ribosomal RNA", at positions 509 to 807 of the family's 1533-position model. The record is from RNAcentral.
CAGUCGCCACGGUAAUACGAAGGGUGCAAGCGUUAAUCGGAAUUACUGGGCGUAAAGCGUACGCAGGCGGUUUGUUAAGUCAGAUGUGAAAUCCCCGAGCUUAACUCGGGAACUGCAUUUGAAACUGGCAGGCUAGAGUCUCGUAGAGGGGGGUAGAAUCCCAGGUGUAGCGGUGAAAUGCGUAGAGAUCUGGAGGAAUACCGGUGGCGAAGGCGGCCCCCUGGACAAAGACUGACGCUCAGGUGCGAAAGCGUGGGGAGCAAACAGGAUUAGAUACCCGUGUAGUCCCUGUCUCUUAUAC